Molecule: long non-coding RNA, 3108 nt
Filed under: Carassius auratus (goldfish)
Lineage: Eukaryota; Metazoa; Chordata; Actinopteri; Cypriniformes; Cyprinidae
Description: lncRNA (ENSCARG00000046823.1)
Source: RNAcentral
AUGAGUCGGAUAGCCAGAAGAGCACAUACACCCCAAUACUUACAAGACAACAGCUGGUCACUGCUGACACUGAAAGGUUUGGCCGGCGCAAGCGGUGCAGUGUGGGAGAGUGGCUCUCGACCUUGCAGACUGAAAGGGUUUCCCAGGGACAAACCACAAAGAGGUCCGUCCGUCAGAGGGGCCCACGCACGCCGCCUCAAAGAUCGGCAGCAGCUGUCACGCUGGAGCUCUCGCCAAGCAACAACAGUUCUCUGCUUUGAAUAAUUUCAGUGAGAUUUGAAUGAGCACAUUUUCAAAGGGGGGUUUUGCCAGCUUCAGGCUGCGUGUGCGAGCAGAGCGAAAUGAAAAUGAGGUGACUGGAGUGAGAAAUUGAAGCUCGAAGUGAAGUGAGAAUUGUAAAGGUGUGAGGAAAUCCAUCUCCUGCAUGUCGAUGGAGAGAUUCAAAGAGAAAGUAAACCAAUAUCACACUUUUUUAAAACAAUUUACUGUUUGUUACGAUGGUUACAUAAAUAUAUUUUCAGUGUUUUCCAGCUUUUUUUGUCCCAUCACGUCUCAAAUCCCUUGAUCAGCUAAACCAAAAAUGUGUUAAUUUUAAGUCAUAUUAUACAGUCCACUUUAAAGAGCUUUUAAAGCAACAGAUGACAAUAAUGCAGCUUUCACUUAUAAUAAACAUAAUUGUAUUGUCCUCGUCUAAUAUCAUUAUCUUUAUAGUUGGUGUAAAUGGGCCUUAACUCAAUGUGCUAUCUAAAGCAUAAGUUGCUCAAUAUUACAUUUUUGUUUAUUUACCUCUGUUAUAAAUACAAUAAAUAUAUUUUUUUUUUCCUCUAGUACCUUUGUAAGAAGUUGUAGUUUGACUGAAAUGUGAAACCUCCUACCUUGUAAACUGUUUAAGUAUCUACUGAGCAAAACAUAACCCUGAUAUGAUGUAUACAGUAUAAAUAUUAUGAUGUGAAUUAAAAAAAAUAGAUAGUGCUAAUCAUUUUCAUCAUACAAUGCAUGUUCAGGGCAGUAAGAAAAUGCAAGCGAUAUCUUAUAUUAAAAGAUUCUGGUUGAUCUGAUGUUUUUUUGUGCAUCUCAAAAUACCCUCGAGUCAUCCACAUAAACCAUGUACCAUAUAUCACAGCAUUUACUGCAGACAGCUUCAGCAGUUAGGAACGCAGGCCCCAAGCUCAGGUUUCAUUUGCAUCUCUGAUCAGGAUUUUAUCUACAAAUAAUGUGCAGACGCCAUCUCGUCUCCUGGUUUGUGGCGUUUGAUCUCAGGCGCAGUGAGAAUCUGAUAUCAGGGGCUCUUGAAAAAAAAAGACAGGCAUCAAAAAGCCUGCCACGGAAUAAGUGUUUACCCAUGACAUAAGGAGCUGUCAGUGUGCCGUCCGCACUGUUGGUCCCCUCAGGAUAAAGUGCUGUGCAGAUUUGUGGACUUUAUCUCUCUCGAAGGGAUUAUAUGUGGUAACAGGGAAGAACUGAAUCAUUAAAGAAGACUUCCGGGUUCAAGAGAAGUUAAGCUUUGGCUUAACAUGGCAUAAGGUUGAUUGGCAAACAAAAUCUUUUUGAUUUGUUGCUUAAAAGGCCAAAUUUGGGGUUACAGUAAGACAUUUACAAUGGAAAUAGCAGGAUGACAAAAAAAUCUGACACUCCUGCUUUAGGUUAUGACAUCAGAUUUCACAUAACUUGCAGAGCUCAUGUGAACAGGCCUCGAUUUCACAGCAUCUGCUCCAAGAUACUGUAACUGUCAAUGCGUAAAAAGCAAACGCUUCAUUGUCUGACGAGCUUACAGCAAAGCGCUUGUUCUACUGCCAAGAAACAAAAGAAAACACCAAUAAAUCUGACAACUGAGUUUUUUUCCUCUCGCUCUCUUUUUUUUCGGGUUUGGAAAAUGACUUUGCAUUGAUGUCCUCUGGCAAAUCACAUUAUUCAUAACUGUUGACCCAUUAUUCAAAAUCAUUACCACGCAGACAAGCAAUUAAAAUGCACCCCAAAGUUGUUUCCAAUGUGUCAUUUUCAGGGACAACUGUGCUAGCAUAAAGCACAUUUCAUGCUACACAAAGAUGUCUAUUGUUUCAGAUUUGCCAUUCUUCAUUAAGUAUAUAAAAAAAAGAAAAAAAAAUUGUGCUGAUCUCCGAUGAGCUUUUUGCAUUCCAAUAAUUACGUUCAUCAGGAAAAGGUGAGCACAUACUCAUCCUGUAUCAGCAUUCUAGUUCUCGAUGCAUCCUUCUUUUGAGAUUUUAUAUUUUCCUGAAUAUUACUUUUUUAAUAAUACUUACUUAUUUUCUUUUUAUUCUUUCACAUAACCUUAACCAUUAUCCAUUGCUUUGUAAAUAUUGAACAUUAUUAUUAAUACUUAUUUUAAAAAAUGCGACAUGGAAAAACUUUAAGUAUGCAAUGAUUGAAACAUUUCAGCUUUUAUGAGAAAAUGAAUGGUUCUGGUUCCAUUAACAGGUUUCAUUAGUUUAAAAAUAUUUUAAAAAUAUACAUUUUCCUCACCUCUCAUAUUUUUUUCCUUCCAUAUUAGUUCCAUCACAAAAGUCUUGUGUAAGAAUUAAAAAAUGUAUACACAUCGAAAUAUAAUUUGUUUAAAAAAAAACAUUUCAUAUAUAAAUUAUAAAUGCAACACUUUUGUUUUUGCCCUAAUUUUUCAUGAGCUGAACUCAAGGAUUUAAGACUUUGUCUAUGUACACAAGAGGCCUAUUUCUCUCAAAUAUUGUUCACGAAUCUGUCUAAAUCUGUGUUAGUGAGCACUUCUUCUUUGCCGAGAUAAUCCAUCCACCUCACAGGUGCGGCAUAUCAAGAUGCUGAUUAGACAGCAUGAUUCUUACACAGGUGUUUCUUGGCUGGCCAAAAUAAAAGGCCACUCAAAAAUGAAAAAUGGGGGCAAAAACAAAAGUGUUAUUUUUUCAUAGCCAUGUUCCUUUAGGGACUUCAUACUGAGAGCACUAUUUGAGAAGACAUUCCAUUGAACAGCUUACACCCACAGCAAUGCACAUUUUUCAUGUUUCCUUUAUCAAACACACCUGAUUCUGGUCAUCAGCUCAUCGGUACAGACAUCAAGACCCAAAAUGACGGUUUCUGACAAAAGAAAACACGUAAAGUGAAUUCUCUAGGAACGUUGUU